Molecule: ribosomal RNA, 871 nt
Filed under: uncultured Bacillota bacterium
Lineage: Bacteria; Bacillati; Bacillota
Description: bacterial SSU rRNA
Rfam family: Bacterial small subunit ribosomal RNA
Source: RNAcentral
UGCAGUCGAGCGAGAAAAGGGGGGCAACUCCCUGAGUAAAGCGGCGCACGGGUGAGUAACACGUGGGUAAUCUGCCCUGGAGUGGGGAAUAACACCGGGAAACCGGUGCUAAUACCGCAUACGAUAACGAGGUCUGCGGACUUUGUUAUGAAAGGAGCAAUUCGCUCCAGGAGGAGCCCGCGGCUGAUUAGCUAGUUGGUGAGGUAAUGGCUCACCAAGGCUACGAUCAGUAUCCGGUCUGAGAGGACGGUCGGACACACUGGAACUGAGACACGGUCCAGACUCCUACGGGAGGCAGCAGUGGGGAAUUUUUGGCAAUGGGGGCAACCCUGACCAAGCAACGCCGCGUGGGUGAUGAAGUCUCUUGGGACGUAAAACCCUUUCGACGGGGAAGAAACCGCAAGGUUGACGGUACCCGUAGAAGAAGCCCCGGCUAACUCCGUGCCAGCAGCCGCGGUAAUACGGGGGGGGCAAGCGUUGUUCGGAAUUACUGGGCGUAAAGGGUGCGUAGGCGGUGCUCUAAGUCGGAUGUGAAAACUCUGGGCUCAACCCAGAGCCUGCAUCCGAAACUGGAGUGCUAGAGUUCUGGAGGGGGUAGCGGAAUUCCUGGUGUAGCGGUGAAAUGCGUAGAUAUCAGGAGGAACACCGGUGGCGAAGGCGGCUACCUGGACAGAGUCUGACGCUGAGGCACGAAAGCUAGGGGAGCAAACAGGAUUAGAUACCCUGGUAGUCCUAGCCCUAAACGAUGGAUACUUGGUGUAGCUGGGAUUGAAUCCAGCUGUGCCGAAGCUAACGCAUUAAGUAUCCCGCCUGGGGAGUACGGUCGCAAGGCUGAACUCAAGGAAUUGACGGGGGCCCGCACAGCGGUGGA